Micropterus dolomieu (smallmouth bass) is the source of this 1168-nucleotide long non-coding RNA. RefSeq lists it as uncharacterized. The transcript has 3 exons. The record is from RefSeq and is a predicted model, not a curated record. Lineage: Eukaryota; Metazoa; Chordata; Actinopteri; Centrarchiformes; Centrarchidae.
GUCAGUAAUUAGCCUUGGCCCGUCCCAACGAUGUGUGGAGUAGCGUCGACGUUUCAGUAAUUAGCCGUGACUCGUAACGUUACCAACGUUGUUUCAGUAAUUAGCCAUGGCCUGUUCCAACGAUGUGGGUGGAGAGGCGUCGGCAUUUCAGAAAUUAGCCUUGACCAGGUAAAAGUAGUCUACAAUGCUGCUGCGUGUCAUCAUAUCAGAAAAUGAAGACAUCCCAUCCAGUGUUGAGCUGUAUCAGGUGUUGCGAACAAAGCUUGGUCUGAGAGGUGGAUUCAUUUUGCAAUAAUCAGUAAUGCAACCUAAUCAGUUGUGCAACCUAACAGACAUCAAAGACCUUCCUGUGGGGUGGGCAACUGUGAAAGUGUUGUUCACAGCUGAUGACGUCUCAGAUUCUACACUGGACACUUGCAGCCUCCCUUCUCUUAGUAGAGAUUGUGUUGAAUGGCCUGACCCCUUCCCGAUUCCACAGUUCUCACAUGAUGUGGAGCUGCAGCUGAAAGAAGCCAAUGCUAAGGAUGGAUCUGUAAUGGUGAUUCCUAAAGGUUUAAAGACAUUCUUGAUAUACUGGCCGACAGUAUGUCAAAGAUUAGUGCUUAUCCUGAGAGGCAUCACUAUGAGAAUGAAGCCAAAGCACUUGUGGAGAAGCAUCCUAGUCUGAAGGAGCUAGGGUCAGAAAUGGGAUGGUACUCGUGGUUUCACAGCCUGAAAUUUAAGCUUGGAAACUAUCGGCAAAAGUUAAGUGCAGCAGGAUACCUUGAAGUGGUGGUAAAGAAAAGGAGAAGGUUCGAAGGGGAAAGUGUAAAGAAGUCAAAGAAGGGUGAGGUCAACUACUGUCCAGAUCCGCCUGAAGGACAGAGUCCUGAAAACAUGGAGAAGUGUAAUAUGAUGGAGGCUGAAAUGCUGAAGAGACCCUGAUCCCCAGCUGGUAGAAGACCUGAUGGUUGCUACGUUUUCCCAGCGCAGAAAAGAGAUAAUUGGAGAUCAGCCACUCAUCACAGAAGUCAUUUCCAGAUGGCCAGCUCUGUUGCAUGAGAGACAGAUCAGGACGGAGUUCAAGAGAAUGGUCACCAAAGACCUUCUGGAAUAUUUUCUCGACAGACGUGAUGGCCUGGUCCCAAGACUGCUAGAGGUGUACAAAGCAGCAACCAAGACUGGAAAG